RNAcentral lists this ribosomal RNA (825 nucleotides) under Stilbocrea gracilipes. Its description in RNAcentral is "partial large subunit ribosomal RNA". It matches the Rfam family "Eukaryotic large subunit ribosomal RNA", at positions 100 to 959 of the family's 3401-position model. The record is from RNAcentral. Lineage: Eukaryota; Fungi; Ascomycota; Sordariomycetes; Hypocreales; Bionectriaceae.
GGCAACAGCUCAAAUUUGAAAUCUGGCCCUAGGCCCGAGUUGUAAUUUGUAGAGGAUGUUUCUGGUGCGGUGCCUUCCGAGUUCCCUGGAACGGGACGCCAUAGAGGGUGAGAGCCCCGUCCGGUCGUGCGCUAAGCCUAUGUGAAACUCCUUCGACGAGUCGAGUAGUUUGGGAAUGCUGCUCUAAAUGGGAGGUAUACGUCUUCUAAAGCUAAAUACCGGCCAGAGACCGAUAGCGCACAAGUAGAGUGAUCGAAAGAUGAAAAGCACUUUGAAAAGAGGGUUAAAUAGUACGUGAAAUUGCUGAAAGGGAAGCGCUUAUGACCAGACUUGGGCUAGGUUAAUCAUCCGGCGUUCUCGCCGGUGCACUUUGCCUGUCCAGGCCAGCAUCAGUUCACGUCGGGGGAUAAAGGCGUCGGGAAUGUGGCUCCCUCGGGAGUGUUAUAGCCCGGCGUGUAAUACCCUGACGAGGACUGAGGUACGCGCUCCGCAAGGAUGCUGGCGUAAUGGUCAUCAGCGACCCGUCUUGAAACACGGACCAAGGAGUCGUCUUCGUAUGCGAGUGUUCGGGUGUCAAACCCCUACGCGUAAUGAAAGUGAACGUAGGAGAGAGCUUCGGCGCAUCUCCGACCGAUCCUGAUGUUCUCGGAUGGAUUUGAGUAAGAGCAUACGGGGCCGGACCCGAAAGAAGGUGAACUAUGCCUGUAUAGGGUGAAGCCAGAGGAAACUCUGGUGGAGGCUCGCAGCGGUUCUGACGUGCAAAUCGAUCGUCAAAUAUGGGCAUGGGGGCGAAAGACUAAUCGAACCUUCUAGUAGCUGGUUUCC